Molecule: ribosomal RNA, 497 nt
Filed under: uncultured bacterium
Lineage: Bacteria
Description: partial 16S ribosomal RNA
Rfam family: Bacterial small subunit ribosomal RNA
Source: RNAcentral
GAUGAACGCUGGCGGCGUGCCUAAUUCAUGCAAGUCGAGCGAACAGAUGAGGAGCUUGCUCCUCUGGCGUUAGCGGCGGACGGGUGAGUAACACGUGGAUAACCUACCUAUAAGACUGGGAUAACUUCGGGAAACCGGAGCUAAUACCGGAUAAUAUAUUGAACCGCAUGGUUCAAUAGUGAAAGACGGUUUUGCUGUCACUUAUAGAUGGAUCCGCGCCGCAUUAGCUAGUUGGUAAGGUAACGGCUUACCAAGGCAACGAUGCGUAGCCGACCUGAGAGGGUGAUCGGCCACACUGGAACUGAGACACGGUCCAGACUCCUACGGGAGGCAGCAGUAGGGAAUCUUCCGCAAUGGGCGAAAGCCUGACGGAGCAACGCCGCGUGAGUGAUGAAGGUCUUCGGAUCGUAAAACUCUGUUAUUAGGGAAGAACAAAUGUGUAAGUAACUAUGCACGUCUUGACGGUACCUAAUCAGAAAGCCACGGCUAACUACGUG